UACGGAGGGAGCUAGCGUUGUUCGGAAAUACUGGGCGUAAAGCGCACGUAGGCGGCGCAGCAAGUCAGGGGUGAAAUCCCGGGGCUCAACCCCGGAACUGCCUCUGAAACUGCAGUGCUAGAAUCUCGGAGAGGCGAGUGGAAUUCCGAGUGUAGAGGUGAAAUUCGUAGAUAUUCGGAAGAACACCAGUGGCGAAGGCGACUCGCUGGACAAGUAUUGACGCUGAGGUGCGAAAGCGUGGGGAGCAAACAGG
RNAcentral lists this ribosomal RNA (253 nucleotides) under uncultured bacterium. RNAcentral's name for it is "partial 16S ribosomal RNA". It matches the Rfam family "Bacterial small subunit ribosomal RNA", at positions 524 to 776 of the family's 1533-position model. The record is from RNAcentral.